This 252-nucleotide ribosomal RNA is filed under the name uncultured microorganism. RNAcentral's name for it is "partial 16S ribosomal RNA". It matches the Rfam family "Bacterial small subunit ribosomal RNA", at positions 524 to 776 of the family's 1533-position model. The record is from RNAcentral.
UACGAGGGUGCGAGCGUUAAUCGGAAUUACUGGGCGUAAAGCGUGCGCAGGCGGUUUGUUAAGCGAGAUGUGAAAGCCCCGGGCUCAACCUGGGAACCGCAUUUCGAACUGGCAAACUAGAGUCUUGUAGAGGGGGGUAGAAUUCCAGGUGUAGCGGUGAAAUGCGUAGAGAUCUGGAGGAAUACCGGUGGCGAAGGCGGCCCCCUGGACAAAGACUGACGCUCAGGCACGAAAGCGUGGGGAGCAAACAGG